AGACAGCAGUCGCCGCGGUAAAACGGAGGGCGCGAGCGUUACCCGGAUUUACUGGGCGUAAAGGGCGUGUAGGCGGCCUGGGGCGUCCCAUGUGAAAGGCCACGGCUCAACCGUGGAGGAGCGUGGGAUACGCUCAGGCUAGAGGGUGGGAGAGGGUGGUGGAAUUCCCGGAGUAGCGGUGAAAUGCGCAGAUACCGGGAGGAACGCCGAUGGCGAAGGCAGCCACCUGGUCCACUUCUGACGCUGAGGCGCGAAAGCGUGGGGAGCAAACCGGAUUAGAGACCCCCGUAGUCCCUGUCUCUUAUAC
RNAcentral lists this ribosomal RNA (307 nucleotides) under uncultured bacterium. RNAcentral's name for it is "partial 16S ribosomal RNA". It matches the Rfam family "Bacterial small subunit ribosomal RNA", at positions 506 to 807 of the family's 1533-position model. The record is from RNAcentral.